Non-coding RNA from Phascolarctos cinereus (koala), 2023 nucleotides. NCBI's taxonomy places the organism in Eukaryota, Metazoa, Chordata, Mammalia, Diprotodontia, Phascolarctidae. The record is from RefSeq and is a predicted model, not a curated record.
CUAGGGGGAGGGAAGCACCCUCAAGUUCCCUUUAAUCUUCAGGAAAUGGGUUUAGGGAUCAUCCCCGCACUUAGGGGUAAGCGACCCCCUAGGAUGACAACUCAAUCUUUUUUUUGUCUUUUUUUCAUUGUAUAGAAUAUUUACCCAGAGAAAAAGAAUUGGUUUUUUUCCCCCUACUUCCAAUUUAGUGUGAAUAGUUGGACUUUGAGGAGGAAGAGGAAAAACUUUCUAAUAGGCUACAGGCCUUUAUUUUUACCGGGAUCCUCAGAAGUUAGGGAUUGAAGUAUGAACUCUAGAAUCACAGAGGUGAAGCACUCUUCAUUUUGUGUCUUCCUAUUCCUGUCAUGCCUGGCGUGAUCUUACCUUGCUGUCUGCCCAUCCUGAAGAGUUCUUUAGCUGUACGGAGAAAAGUAGAGGCAGUGGAUGAAGCUGGAGAGCGCAUAGCCUUGGGACACUCUCAGUGUCUGUGUUACCUUGGGAGGGUCUCAGUGUUUACAGAUGGAAGCGUGCUAAUAAAGAAAGGUCCUUUUAAGUAAGAGCAUAUUUGAGGUGGGUAACAAGCUGUGAGGUCCAUUGGGGACAUAAAUUUGCAGUAAAUUGGAACCUCUUAUAUGUGCAUUCACUCUAUGUGGCCCCCCCCUUCUCUGUAAUCAAAAUGUAAUUAUGAACUUUACAUUCAGAAAUCUUCUUGGCAGCGAUCAACAGAACUGUCUUCCUCUGGGGAAGUGGAACUGACUCAAGUGAAGGAGAAUAGCUCAUCCCACUGGAGACCACUGUAAACUCCAUGCUUGAUGGACUAAGUAGGGAAAUUUUCUCCUGCUUAAUCCUCAGGCUUCACUCUCAAUUUAGGGAUCCCAGAAGAUGGUCAUGUGAUCUGAAACUUUCAAGGAAACAUGAGGGUCAGUGAGUUCUGUGGCAUAGAGGUAAAAACGUGUGUGGUGGUCAUCAGUUAUUCUUUCUUUCCCUGAGGGGAGAAUGAAAGAAUAGGGUUAAAUGUAAGCAGGAAAAAUUCAGGCUGUUUUUAGAUUCUACAAAGGACUCUUCUUGCAGUGGUUGUGAGACUCAGGUUACUGAGUCUGUUGUUGAAGGAGUCUUAUUAAAUGAUUUUUAAAAGAGUAAAUGACUGGUGUGUAGUAUUGCCAGAAGGCUAGGGAUUCAACUGGAUGACCUCCUGAGGUUUCUGUCAGUUCUAUUAUUCCAUGAAUUUAGUUCUAACUUUGUAUCUCUAAGCCUAUUAUAAUAGCCUGAGGACAUACUGAAGCAAAUAGUUGCUCCUACUAUGCCACAGUCUAAGAAAGCUGAUUUCCCUGGAAAAUAAAGACUAGAUAUGAGAAAUAGAGGUAGGCUGUGGUCAGUGUUAUGUUCAUGGGGAAGAACCUCACCAUACUUCCUGUGGCCCCAAACCUCAGAGACUCCAACAACCUGCAGCAUCACCCUUCAGAGGGUAUACCUGGAAAUCUUCCCCCAUCCAUUCCCCUUGUCAUUGUAUCACCAGAACACUUCUGAAAAACAAUUUCUGACAUUCAAGUAAGCAGCCUCCUCCUGUUUUUUCUUGUUCCUGGAAGUGAUUUUCCUUACUUUUCUGGUUUAUUUUGGGAGCUGUCUCACCUAACAGAAAGUGUUUGAGUGUAGAUAGAGUGUGAGACAUUCACAGUCAUGAGGAAGGACUGUGUAGUGCUUACUUUCAAGGGGUGCUGAGUAUAGAGUAGCAGCCUGAAUGACAUUUGUCCCAAGACUUGACAUGCCAGCUGGGGUCUUACCAUGGUGUAGAGUAUAAUGGGAUUAUUAGUUACCGUACCUUUCAAUGAAGCCUAAAUUUGCGGGUUUUUUUGUUUUUGGUUGCCGAAUUACAUAGUUGGCUCACUGAGUCUUGCUGUCCUCUAAAAAACACAGUUUUUUUUUUCAGAUGAACUGCUUUCUGUUUGGUGGUCCUUCCUGUCUUGUACUUUGACAUUAAUUUUGUUUUGAACAUGGGUUUUACAUUUAUUCCUGUUAAAUCCAUCUAAAUAUAUUUAGUCCAACA